AAGUCGUAACAAGGUUUCCGUAGGUGAACCUGCGGAAGGAUCAUUAUCGAGUUUUUUGAACGGGUUGUAGCUGGUCUCUCUUCUGUGGAGAGACAUGUGCACGCCUGGCUCAUCCACUCUUCAACCUCUGUGCACCUCAUGUAAGAAAACGGUGAAAGCCAGCUUUAAUCGGUUGGUAGAAACCUUUUUCUUAUGUUUAUUACACAAACGCUUCAGUUAUAGAAUGUUUAUAGUGUGUAUAACACAAUUAAUAUAUACAACUUUCAGCAACGGAUCUCUUGGCUCUC
This 287-nucleotide unclassified non-coding RNA is filed under the name fungal sp. RNAcentral's name for it is "partial internal transcribed spacer region". The stretch from base 1 to 46 matches the Rfam family "Eukaryotic small subunit ribosomal RNA", at positions 1786 to 1831 of the family's 1831-position model. The record is from RNAcentral. Lineage: Eukaryota; Fungi.